RNAcentral lists this long non-coding RNA (4129 nucleotides) under Homo sapiens (human). RNAcentral's name for it is "HSALNT0031050". The record is from RNAcentral. Lineage: Eukaryota; Metazoa; Chordata; Mammalia; Primates; Hominidae.
GCAGGCAUAGCCAGCUGAAAUUCUGAAAGUGGAUUAUGCAUGGAGUAAUGCUGUUCUCAGGAAAUCAGUGAUUUAUUUUAUAAUCUAAAAUUUAAACGUUUUAAUAUACCUCCCAAGAAGAUACCCAGUUCAGAAAACUGCAGAGGAGCCAUGGAACUCAGCAGAAGGCCAGCUCCCUCUCUGGGAGGCCGCCUUCAGGAAACCAAUCGUCCCCCCACCUGAUUCCAAAGGAAUUACAGAAAAAUGGAAAGCCAGGAACAAAAAUCAUAAAUCAUAUUUUCAAUAUGACCUUGUAACGUUAUCCAUGGAUGUUACCUCAGACUUCGUGAUAAGCUGAGGCCCUGACACCAUGUUCCUGUCACCUUCCUGUUGUGGCCAUGAACGAUGCCUUGAGCUCAGCUGUACCUGGAUGCUUGGACUCAGCUGCUGCAGCUCAGAGGCUCUGGACGAGCCCUUCAUCAUCAGGCCAUCUCUUCUGAGAUUCUGCUCAGGACUUGGGCCUGGAUGAUCUGCUGAGCUUCAGUCUCUGCCCUGCUCCCCUCAUGGAGGACCUGAUUCAUCUGGAGCCUCGGACUCCCUAUGUAGUGGUCCCUGGGAUCAGAGCAGCACUCUUGAUGGAAAUGCUGGGCCCUUCGAGGUUAGCUUAAACUGAAGAGAGGAACUUGGUUAGAAUACAGACAUCUCUGAUGCUGUGUCCCGGAUGUUGAGCUUCCAGCUCUGAUGGCACGUUCUGUCAACUCAGCUCUGUUUUGAGUGGAACUGAACACUCAGUGAUGGCUAAAAACAGCAGUUGACUAAACUAAUUAAGCUACAUGUAGACGGUGACGGAGGCGGAAAGAUAGGCCGAGACAGGCCCUUUGGAAAUUAUCCUGAGCAUUCUUCUUUUACAGAAGAACAGUAAAACAGACUUGUUAUUGGCAGCCCAUUAGUGCUCAGGAGAGGCGGUCUCCAGCAUGACAUCAGCCGGCGGCUCGACCCAAAUCUAGUAUUUCACCAGAGAGCCUAACGCUGCUGGCUUUCCAACUGUGUGGAAGAGAAAAUAGCGAACAGCUAUUACAUAUCUGGACUCGGUCUGCGCAAACCACUUCAAGCCACAGCAAAGGAGGCGGCCUUCCAGCCUUGAGCCUGUAGAAGGUUCAUGAAUGGAAACCUGGAUGGAUGGGUUGUGGUCUUGGCCGCUCCACUUCUGCCUGCAGCCCAGGAGGGGGGCCCUGUGUCUCCUGCUCAGGCCUGCACAGGAUACAGGCGUAACAAAGACAAGGAUGAAAUAAGUCCUGUGAUGGAGAGACAAGCAAAAUUCUACCUGACUUCACAGGAGGAAGAAGUGUGCUGUGCCAGGGGGAACAGGAGAAAGCUUCAUGGAAGAGGUGAGCCUUACAAGCCACGUAGGAUUUCAAAAGGGGAGGAUAAUGUUCCGAGGCAAGGAACCAGCAAAACACUGAGGAAUAAAAGUAAAAAUUGUAUCUGGGGAAUGAUGAGUGGUCCCAAAUGAAUGGAGGAGAAAGUUAAGCACCUGUGGGGUGUGUGUGGGGUGUGUAUGUGUUUGUGUGAGUGUGUUGGUGGGAGUGGAAAGUGGAAUUAGGAGUUUUGAGAUGCUUUGUUUUGCAAACCGCAGAUAACCCUUAAAGGUGUUGGAGACUUGUGGAUGGAGUGAGUGGUGAUGCAACCCAACCUAUAUAUUCAUAAUUGACCCUGUAAGCCAUAAAAAGGACAAGCUGAGAAGGGAUGAUAUUAGAGGCAGGAGGACCAGAGGCUACUUCAGUAGCCCAGGUCAGAGAGGAGGAGGACUGGCAAGGCAGAGGCAGUGUUCCUGGAGGGAGGGGAUAGAUGCUGGGGACCCUGCAGAGGUCAGGGGCAGCCAGUCAGGUGUGGUGGGAGGAAGGGAAGUGCUCUCUUCGGGGUGCCUGAGAAGGUGACCAUGGGCAGGACAGAGACUGGCAACUCUGAGAGAGAAAUGGAUUUGGGGAAAGAGAAAAGAAAACACUAGUUACAAUUGGAUACAUGGAGUUGGAGUUGUUGGUGGUGACUGUCAUGAAGGAGUACCCAGGGAAGAGUAAACAGAUAGAUGGAACAAAACAGGAGGAAGGCAGAACUCUGAGGAAUGCCCACAUCUAGGGGAGCCAGUGCAACAGACAACAUGGAACGGCAGGGUUAGUAGGAGACGGGCCAUGAGGAAAAGGGAGGGAAGUUCCAAGAAGAAAGGCUGGAAGGUAUUUCUGAUGCUUCAAGGAGACCCAAGAAGGGGAGAUGGUGAGGCAGUUGGGUUGGGCAAUAAAGAAGUUGAGCAGGGUGUGGGAAGUAGAGGCAGAAAGAUUUUGCACCUGGCUUUAAAGAAGUUUCACCAUGAUGACUGCAUGGAAAGUUUUUUUUGGGUGAUGGGCCCUUGAGCAAUAUUCAAGGAUAAAUAAUAAGGAGGGAGAGAUUGAAAGGCACCCAAGAGGGGACUCUGAUGGAGCAGGAUCAUGGGAGGGGCAGGAAGGGGUGGAGCAGGUGGGCUUGCAAAGCAGCAGGAAGAAGGUGCGAUAGACCAGAGAACAGUUAAGGUAAAGACAAGGGGGAGCGAGGGUGCAGGCAGCCUGCCGGGGAAGGAAACAAUGAGAUCCUAUGCUGAGAGUGAGGGCUGGGGAUGAAGGUGAUGGGAAGAGAGAAGUGGCUUGGAAAUUUGAGGCAGGGAGGACACGGAACAGAAAGUCAGGCAGGAAUGAAUAAUAGGGCAUUGAGAAGCUGAAGAUGGAAGCCCGGCUCUGCAACAUCCUCGUCUGCACAGUCAUGACAUUUGCUCCAGCCUUUCUGGGCAGUCUGGAAGCAGAAGCAGAAGCAAAGAACCCAGUGGCGGGAAUCCUCCAGCUAUGGCCAGCACUGCAGCCACAGUGGACAGCCAGAGACACAGGACCUUAGCGGAUGAUCGGAGAGAAUUUUACAGCAGGAAGCCUUUUUGUUGAUAUGGGUGACCUUCACCUCCAAGACCGGUACAGCCUUGUCUUGGGUUAAAUUUGGAGACCAAAUGUGAAAAAGUUUUACAUAAAAAAUAUAUACCGGCCAGGCACGGUGGCUCACACCUGUAAUCCCAGCACUUUGGGAGGCUGAGGCAGGCAGAUCACGAGCUCAGGAGAUCGAGACCAUCCUGACUAAUACGGUGAAACCCCAUCUCUACUAAAAAUACAAAAAAUUAGCUAGGUGUGGUGGCAGGUGCCUGUAGUCCCAGCUACUCAGGAAGCUGAGGCAGGAGAAUGGUGUGAACCUGGGAGGCGGAGCUUGCAGUGAGCCAAGAUUGCGCCACUGCACUCCAGCCUGGGUGACAAAGCGAGACUCCAUCUGGUCACAGGAAAUGGGUAGCUAUCCAGCUAAAUAGAUUUCAUGCUUGACUUCAGUGGAAUAGCUCAAAUGAUGAUCUGUUUGGGAGAGUAAAUUAAAGAGUUUCCAUCCGAGGUUGGUUGAAUCCACAGAUACGGAACCCACAGAUAUAGAGGGCCAACCAUACUGAGUCCUGACUUCACCCAUUCCUUCUACCCCCAUCUCUCCUAAUCCUUAAACUUCCUUGCAAUUCCUGGAGCAGAAUACUCGUGUAGGAGUCAGGGGUUGUCUUCCCUUCCUAGAAGCAAUGCUUCUAUGUUCUCAUUUGAUGUUGAAUAAAACAUUAAACAGAAAAGCUUUGAUAACAUGCGACAUUCACGAGAGAGACGAAUAGGACACGGUCAUCCGAGUGCCGAGGCGCGGAAGCGCGAACUGCCCGGAGCGACCUGGCUUGGCGCACAGACUCAUUAACCAAGCCCGAGAGGAGGCAGCAAUGCGUGUGCGGGAAAGGGAGCGGUUCUCAAAAUACAAAGUGAUAAAACAGCUUCCAGUUAUAUUGAAAAACGAUGCAAACCCUCAAUUCCUUUUUUUUUUUUUUGGACCUGGCCGGACCUGGAAAUGCCGGUUAUAAACAAGAAUAAAAACUUGAAUUUAUUGGUGGAAGUCCUGUUAAAAGAGCUCAACACAAGCAUAUGAGACAAACUGCAAGAAGCAAACAGUCUCCAUUCAGAGAGCAGGACCACACUCUGGGUUCUUGUUUAAGCGUUUGACGUGCACAUGAGACACCUAACAAAGCCUGAAACUAAAUUUAUUUUUCACUACAUCUCUCUGGUAU